This 254-nucleotide ribosomal RNA is filed under the name uncultured bacterium. RNAcentral's name for it is "partial 16S ribosomal RNA". It matches the Rfam family "Bacterial small subunit ribosomal RNA", at positions 524 to 776 of the family's 1533-position model. The record is from RNAcentral.
GACAGAGGGUGCAAACGUUGUUCGGAAUUACUGGGCGUAAAGGGCGUGUAGGUGGUAAUGUAAGUCUGGCGUGAAAUUUUUCGGCUUAACCGGGAAAGGUCGUCGGAUACUGCAUGACUAGAGGACGGUAGAGGCGUGUGGAAUUCCUGGUGUAGCGGUGGAAUGCGCAGAUAUCAGGAGGAACACCGAUGGCGAAGGCAGAUCUCUGGGCCGUAACUGACGCUGAGGAGCGAAAGCAUGGGGGAGCGAACAGG